AAGGAGCAAGGGUUAUUUUUGUAUGUGGCAUUAGAGUAUAUUCUUUGUAUUUUUCACAGGGAAUCAGAGACAUUAGAAUUUCCCAACUGUCAACUUAGAAGUUUUCUUAUUUAGACUUUAGGUUUGGUUCCUGUAUUAACUAGAUAUGCAAUUUUGGCAAGUCUUGUCACCUCUCAGAGUUAAAGUUUGCUCUUCAAGAAGAUAUGGGAGUUGGAUCAAGUCAUCUAGAAGGUUAUCUGCAGGACUUCUUCUCUAAGAUUAUAGUACUAGAGAGUUAAGAUUGGGGUGAAGAUAACUCUCUAAAUAAAGAAGCCUGUGCUGAAGGAAAAUUAACCAGAGAAGAGUGCUGGAGAUGAGCAAUUCAAGUGGGUUAAAUGAUGGCCAAAGGUGUUAAAUCCUAAUCCCUGGAACUUAUAAAUAUUACCUUAUUUGGAAAAAGAAUCUUGUGGAUAUAAAUAAGCUAAGGAUCUUGAACUGAGAAGACUGUCCUGUAUUGUUUGGGUAGGUCCUAAAUGUCAUCAUGAGUGUCCUUAUAGGAGAGUAGCACAGGAAGAUAAUGGACACACAGGGGAAACUUUGAUAUAAAGAUGGAGGCAGAGAUGGAGGUGUGAUGAAGCCACAAGCCCAGGAAUGCCAGGUCAGUCAUCAGAAAAUGAAGAGACAAGGAACGGAUUCUCCCCUAUGGCCUCCAGAGGGAGUAUGCACCUGCCAGAUUUGGGACUUCUAGUCUCCAAAACUGUAAAGAGAACAAAUUUCUAUUGUUUAAGCCACCAAGCUUGUGGUAAUUUAUUAUAGAAGGCAUGAGAAACCAAAACACCGUCCUAAGGACUUUUAUUUCUUUUUCUUGCUGUCUUGCGCUGGGUAAGACUUCCAAGACAAUGUUAACAGUAGUAUAACAGCAGGUAUCUUUGUUUUGUCUCUCAAUGAUAAAACUUUAAAUAUUGUAGCAUUAAUUAUGAUGUUAGUGUAAUAACAGGUAUCUUUGUCUUGUCUCUCAAUUAUAAAAUUUUAAAUACUUUAGCAUUGAUUAUGAUGUUAGCUGAAAGAUUUUUGUAAGAAACCUGUUAAUUAAAUUAGGGAAAUUAUUGCCUAUUUUUGGUUUGUGAAGAAUUUUGAGGGGAACCGAUGUUAAAUUUGAUCAAAAGAUUUCCCUGUAAUUAUUGACAUUUUUUUCCAUUAUUCCAUUUAUGUGAUAA
Molecule: long non-coding RNA, 1196 nt
Organism: Pan troglodytes (chimpanzee)
Lineage: Eukaryota; Metazoa; Chordata; Mammalia; Primates; Hominidae
Exons: 3
Source: RefSeq, a predicted model, not a curated record